Molecule: long non-coding RNA, 2616 nt
Organism: Clupea harengus (Atlantic herring)
Lineage: Eukaryota; Metazoa; Chordata; Actinopteri; Clupeiformes; Clupeidae
Source: Ensembl
CCUUCUUCCACUCUUCUUUCCUUCUUCUACUCUUCUUUUCUUUCUUCACUCUUCUUUCCUUCUUCUUUCUUUUCUUCUUUCCUUUCUUCACUCUUCUUUCCUUUCUUCUUUCCUUCUUCCACUCUUCUUUCCUUCUUCUACUCUUCUUUUCUUUCUUCACUCUUCUUUCCUUCUUCCACUCUUCUUUCCUUCUUCUACUCUUCUUUUCUUUCUUCACUCUUCUUCCACUCUUCUUUCCUUCUUCCACUCUUCUUUCCUUUCUUCUUUCCUUCUUCCACUCUUCUUUCCUUCUUUCUCUCUUCUUUCUUUUCUUCUUUCCUUCUUCCACUCUUCUUUCCUUCUUUCACUCUUCUUUCUUUUCUUCUUUCCUUCUUCCACUCUUUUUUCCUUCUUUCACUCUUCUUUCCUUCUUUCCUUCUUUCACUUUUCUUUUUUUUUCUUCUUUCCUUCUUCCACUCUUCUUUUCUUUCUUCACUCUUCUUUCUUUUCUUCUUUCCUUCUUCUUUACUUCUUCCACUCUCCUUUCCUUUCUUCUUUCCUUCUUAUACUUUUCUUUUUUUUCCUCUUUCCUUCUUCUUUCCUUUCUUCACUCUUCUUUCCUUCUUCUACUCUUCUUUUCUUUCUUCACUCUUCUUUCCUUCUUCCACUCUUCUAUCCUUCUUCCACUCUUCUUUCCUUCUUUUACUCUUCUUUCCUUUCUUCUUUCCUUCUUUCUUUUCUUCUUCCACUCUUCUUUCCUUUCUUCUUUCCUUCUUUCACUCUUCUUUCUUUUCUUCUUUCCUUUCUUCACUCUUCUUUUCUUUAUUCUUUCCUUCUUCCACUCUUCUUUUCUUUCUUCUUUCCUUCUUCCACUCUUCUUUUCUUUCUUCACUCUUCUUUCCUUCUUCCACUCUUCUUUCCUUUCUUCUUUCACUCUUCUUUCUUUUCUUCUUUCCUUUCUUCACUCUUCUUUUCUUUAUUCUUUCCUUCUUCCACUCUUCUUUCCUUCUUCCACUCUUCUUUCCUUUCUUCACUCUUCUUUCCUUUCUUCUUUCCUUCUUCCACUCUUCUUUCCUUCUUCCUCUCUUCUUUCCUUCUUUCCUUUCUUCUUUCCUUUCUUCUUUCACUCUUCUUUCUUUUCUUCUUCCUUUCUUAACUUUAGCAUUUCAUGCACUGGUAUUUCCUUCAGGAAAUGCAUUUUCUAGUUCUUCUUCUUCUUAUUAUUCUCUUUACCGACUUCUGCGCUUAAUUCAGCUCGAAGCGCUUAACUUAGAAACUCCGUUCAAACUUUGGCGCGUAGGUCUUGUAAAGGACACUUAUGCUAUGUAUUUUUCAUUUUUCUAAACUUUAUACUUUUUAAAAUAUUAAAUAAAAACUAAUACAAUUUCUCCCAUUGACUUACAUUGGGCCAUUAUGACAUCAUAAUAGGGUCUUUAAACUGGCUUGCACCUGUGCUUCACUGACACCUGCGCCAAGGUUCCAAGGCUCCUCUUCUCUCUGUCCCUCUCCAUUCAACUGUAUAACUAGGAAUAUUAUUCUUUCCUUCUUCCACUCUUCUUCUUUCAUUCUUCCACUCUUCUUUCCUUCUUCCACUCUCCUUUCCUUUCUUCUUUCCUUCUUCCACUCUUCUUUCCUUCUUCUACUCUUCUUUUCUUUCUUCACUCUUCUUUCCUUCUUCCACUCUUCUUUCCUUCUUCUACUCUUCUUUUCUUUCUUCACUCUUCUUUCCUUCGUCUUUCUUUUCUUCUUUCCUUUCUUCACUCUUCUUUCCUUUCUUCUUUCCUUCUUCCACUCUUCUUUCCUUCUUCUACUCUUCUUUUCUUUCUUCACUCUUCUUUCCUUCUUCCACUCUUCUUUCCUUCUUCUACUCUUCUUUUCUUUCUUCACUCUUCUUUCCUUCUUCCACUCUUCUUUCCUUUCUUCUUUCCUUCUUCCACUCUUCUUUCCUUCUUUCUCUCUUCUUUCUUUUCUUCUUUCCUUCUUCCACUCUUCUUUCCUUCUUUCACUCUUCUUUCUUUUCUUCUUUCCUUCUUCCACUCUUUUUUCCUUCUUUCACUCUUCUUUCCUUCUUUCACUUUUCUUUUUUUUUCUUCUUUCCUUCUUCCACUCUUCUUUUCUUUCUUCACUCUUCUUUCUUUUCUUCUUUCCUUCUUCUUUCCUUCUUCCACUCUUCUUCCACUCUUCUUUCCUUCUUUCACUUUUCUUUUUUUUUCUUCUUUCCUUCUUCCACUCUUCUUUUCUUUCUUCACUCUUCUUUCCUUUCUUCUUUCCUUCUUAUACUUUUCUUUUUUUUACUCUUUCCUUCUUCUUUCCUUUCUUCACUCUUCUUUCUUUUCUUCUUUCCUUCUUCCCUUCUUCUUUCCUUCUUCGACUCUUCUUUCCUUUCUUCUUUCCUUUCUUUACUCUUCUUUCCUUUCUUAUUUCCUUCUUUCACUCUUCUUUCUUUUCUUCUUCCUUUCUUAACUUUUGCAUUUCAUGCACUGGUAUUUCCUUCAGGAAAUGCAUUUUCUAGUUCUUCUUCUUAUUCUUUGUACCAAACUUCUGCGCUUAAUUCAGCUUGAACCGCUUAACUUAGAAACUUCAUUCAAACUUUGUCGCUUAGGUCUUGUAAAGGACACUUAUGCUAUGUAUUUUUCA